Non-coding RNA from Misgurnus anguillicaudatus (oriental weatherfish), 426 nucleotides. NCBI's taxonomy places the organism in Eukaryota, Metazoa, Chordata, Actinopteri, Cypriniformes, Cobitidae. The record is from RefSeq and is a predicted model, not a curated record.
GUGUGUGCAGCACCCGUGUGCGUGCGUGCGUGUGUGCGCGCGCGCGUCCUCGCGCGUAUGUAUGUAUGUAUGUAUGGGCGUGCGUCUGUGUAUUUUGAAUUUAAAAUGUUUUAACUCGGAAGGAUCUGGAUCACAGGUCAUUUCAUCUGAGAUCAAUCCGCACGCAACAGCUGGAAUCACUUACUGGUUCACACAAGGAAGGACACAAGUCACCCGUUUCCUCAAGUUCACGUCAGAGGGAUACAUAGCGAGACAGUCUCCGCUUGGACUGGCUGAGGAAAGUCUCCUAAAUGGCCCUGGAGAUGUUCUGACUGACUUUGGAGGCUUUUUGGACUGUUUUAUGCCCUCUAUUUAAAGACUUAAUUCUGUAUGUUCAGUCUGUAUGAUAAGUGAAUAAGUGAAUAAAAAGCUUUUGUUUUUAUGUGA